This 400-nucleotide ribosomal RNA is filed under the name uncultured bacterium. RNAcentral's name for it is "bacterial SSU rRNA". It matches the Rfam family "Bacterial small subunit ribosomal RNA", at positions 355 to 746 of the family's 1533-position model. The record is from RNAcentral.
UGGGGAAUAUUGGACAAUGGGGGGAACCCUGAUCCAGCCAUGCCGCGUGUGUGAAGAAGGCCUUUUGGUUGUAAAGCACUUUAAGCGAGGAGGAGGCUCCCAGUAUUAAUACUACUGGAGAGUGGACGUUACUCGCAGAAUAAGCACCGGCUAACUCUGUGCCAGCAGCCGCGGUAAUACAGAGGGUGCAAGCGUUAAUCGGAUUUACUGGGCGUAAAGCGUGCGUAGGUGGCCAAUUAAGUCAAAUGUGAAAUCCCCGAGCUUAACUUGGGAAUUGCAUUCGAUACUGGUUGGCUAGAGUAUGGGAGAGGAUGGUAGAAUUCCAGGUGUAGCGGUGAAAUGCGUAGAGAUCUGGAGGAAUACCGAUGGCGAAGGCAGCCAUCUGGCCUAAUACUGACAC